AAGGUAGCGCAAUCACUUGUUCUUUAAAUGAGGACUAGUAUGAACGGCAUCACGAGGAUUACACUGUCUCCCCCCCUAAAUCAAUGAAACUGAUCCCCCCGUGAAGAAGCGGGGAUAAAUAUAUAAGACGAGAAGACCCUAUGGAGCUUUAAACUAAACACCACUUACCUUUAACCACUCCCUUACAAACAGGUAAAGAUCGUGUGUGUUUUCAGUUGGGGUGACUGCGGAGCAAAAUAAAACCUCCACGAUGAAACAAUCCUCUAAUCUAAGAACAACAUUUCAAAGAAUCAACAAAUUGACAUAAAUUGACCCAAAUAUUAAUUUGAUCAACGAACCAAGUUACCCUAGGGAUAACAGCGCAAUCCAUUUCAAGAGCUCAUAUCGACAAAUGGGUUUACGACCUCGAUGUUGGAUCAGGGUAUCCCAGUGGUGCAGCCGCUACUA
Molecule: ribosomal RNA, 447 nt
Filed under: Chiasmocleis lacrimae
Lineage: Eukaryota; Metazoa; Chordata; Amphibia; Anura; Microhylidae
Description: partial large subunit ribosomal RNA
Rfam family: Bacterial large subunit ribosomal RNA
Source: RNAcentral